GAUGAACGCUGGCGGCGUGCCUAAUACAUGCAAGUCGAGCGAACAGACGAGGAGCUUGCUCCUCUGACGUUAGCGGCGGACGGGUGAGUAACACGUGGAUAACCUACCUAUAAGACUGGGAUAACUUCGGGAAACCGGAGCUCAUACCGGAUAAUAUAUUGAACCGCAUGGUUCAAUAGUGAAAGACGGUUUUGCUGUCACUUAUAGAUGGAUCCGCGCCGCAUUAGCUAGUUGGUAAGGUAACGGCUUACCAAGGCAACGAUGCGUAGCCGACCUGAGAGGGUGAUCAGCCACACUGGAACUGAGACACGGUCCAGACUCCUACGGGAGGCAGCAGUAGGGAAUCUUCCGCAAUGGGCGAAAGCCUGACGGAGCAACGCCGCGUGAGUGAUGAAGGUCUUCGGAUCGUAAAACUCUGUUAUUAGGGAAGAACAAAUGUGUAAGUAACUAUGCACGUCUUGACGGUACCUAAUCAGAAAGCCACGGCUAACUACGUG
This 497-nucleotide ribosomal RNA is filed under the name uncultured bacterium. Its description in RNAcentral is "partial 16S ribosomal RNA". It matches the Rfam family "Bacterial small subunit ribosomal RNA", at positions 28 to 507 of the family's 1533-position model. The record is from RNAcentral.